UGACAUGUCGAACGCCCCGCAAGGGGAGUGGCAGACGGGUGAGUAACGCGUGGGAACAUACCCUUUCCUGCGGAAUAGCUCCGGGAAACUGGAAUUAAUACCGCAUACGCCCUACGGGGGAAAGAUUUAUCGGGGAAGGAUUGGCCCGCGUUGGAUUAGCUAGUUGGUGGGGUAAAGGCCUACCAAGGCGACGAUCCAUAGCUGGUCUGAGAGGAUGAUCAGCCACAUUGGGACUGAGACACGGCCCAAACUCCUACGGGAGGCAGCAGUGGGGAAUAUUGGACAAUGGGCGCAAGCCUGAUCCAGCCAUGCCGCGUGAGUGAUGAAGGCCUUAGGGUUGUAAAGCUCUUUCACCGAUGAAGAUAAUGACGGUAGUCGGAGAAGAAGCCCCGGCUAACUUCGUGCCAGCAGCCGCGGUAAUACGAAGGGGGCUAGCGUUGUUCGGAAUUACUGGGCGUAAAGCGCACGUAGGCGGAUAUUUAAGUCAGGGGUGAAAUCCCGCAGCUCAACUGCGGAACUGCCUUUGAUACUGGGUAUCUUGAGUAUGGAAGAGGUAAGUGGAAUUCCGAGUGUAGAGGUGAAAUUCGUAGAUAUUCGGAGGAACACCAGUGGCGAAAGCGGCUUACUGGUCCAUUACU
Molecule: ribosomal RNA, 638 nt
Filed under: Agrobacterium sp.
Lineage: Bacteria; Pseudomonadati; Pseudomonadota; Alphaproteobacteria; Hyphomicrobiales; Rhizobiaceae
Description: bacterial SSU rRNA
Rfam family: Bacterial small subunit ribosomal RNA
Source: RNAcentral